CUUGUUACUCCACGCUAUAAAUGAUGAGUGAUAAGUGGGAGAGCGUCUCCCCCUUUUAGUGCUGCAGUUCACGCAUUAAGCACUCCCCCUGGGGAGUAUGGUCGCAAGAUUGAAACUCAAAGGAAUUGACGGCCGCCCGCACAAGUGGUGGAGCAUGUGGUUUAAUUAGAAGCAACGCGAAGAACCUUACCAGGUCUUGACAUCUUGUGACAACUGUAGAGAUAGAGUGUUCCCCUUCGGGCGACAGAGUGACAGGUGGUGCAUGGUUGUCGUCAGCUCGUGUCGUGAGAUGUUGGGUUAAGUCCCGCAACGAGCGCAACCCUUGAUCUUAGUUGCCAGCAUUUAGUUGGGCACUCUAAGGUGACUGCCGGUGACAAACCGGAGGAAGGUGGGGAUGACGUCAAAUCAUCAUGCCCCUUAUGACCUGGGCUACACACGUGCUACAAUGGAUGGUACAAAGGGCUGCACGACCGCGAGGUCAAGCCAAUCCCAUAAAACCAUUCUCAGUUCGGAUUGUAGGCUGCAACUCGCCUACAUGAAGCUGGAAUCGCUAGUAAUCGCGGAUCAGCAUGCCGCGGUGAAUACGUUCCCGGGCCUUGUACACACCGCCCGUCACACCACGAGAGUUUGUAACACCCGAAGUCGGUGGAGUAACUAGUAUAGGAGCUAGCCUCCUUUAGUUUUCCCGCCGCCC
RNAcentral lists this ribosomal RNA (694 nucleotides) under Bacillus sp. (in: firmicutes). Its description in RNAcentral is "bacterial SSU rRNA". It matches the Rfam family "Bacterial small subunit ribosomal RNA", at positions 786 to 1476 of the family's 1533-position model. The record is from RNAcentral. Lineage: Bacteria; Bacillati; Bacillota; Bacilli; Caryophanales; Bacillaceae.